AACGAACGCUGGCGGCAUGCCUAACACAUGCAAGUCGAACGAGACCUUCGGGUCUAGUGGCGCACGGGUGCGUAACGCGUGGGAACCUGCCCUUAGGUUCGGAAUAACUCCCCGAAAGGGGUGCUAAUACCGGAUAAUGUCUUCGGACCAAAGAUUUAUCGCCUUUGGAUGGGCCCGCGUUGGAUUAGCUAGUUGGUAGGGUAAAAGCCUACCAAGGCGACGAUCCAUAGCUGGUCUGAGAGGAUGAUCAGCCACACUGGGACUGAGACACGGCCCAGACUCCUACGGGAAGCAGCAGUGGGGAAUAUUGGACAAUGGGCGAAAGCCUGAUCCAGCAAUGCCGCGUGAGUGUUGAAGGCCUUAGGGUUGUAAAGCUCUUUUACCCGGGAUGAUAAUGACAGUACCGGGAGAAUAAGCUCCGGCUAACUCCGUG
RNAcentral lists this ribosomal RNA (433 nucleotides) under uncultured bacterium. RNAcentral describes it as "partial 16S ribosomal RNA". It matches the Rfam family "Bacterial small subunit ribosomal RNA", at positions 29 to 507 of the family's 1533-position model. The record is from RNAcentral.